RNAcentral lists this long non-coding RNA (251 nucleotides) under Gossypium barbadense (sea-island cotton). RNAcentral describes it as "long non-coding RNA (GBAR_LNC014429)". The record is from RNAcentral. Lineage: Eukaryota; Viridiplantae; Streptophyta; Magnoliopsida; Malvales; Malvaceae.
GGAGGUAGGGAAAUCCCAAAAUGUCACGCUCGUUUGCCUUCCCUCCCUAAUCUCAUCUCGAAUCUCGUUUAAAAAAACAUCGCUUGCUGACCGUUGGAUUUUGAUCGGACGAAAGAGGAGAAGGGUUAGAUGGGAUAAGACUGGGGUGUGAUUGGUGGAGGGAUACGUGUUGUCGAAGUUCGUCAACGGGUCAGAGAUUGGGAUCUUCGCAUCCACUUCCCUACCUCAACAGGUUUCGACUUGCAUAUCCC